UGUUAAAAGCCAUUUCCCCCCAAAUUUCGACCAAUUCAAACCUAGGGCAAGUAAAAAACUUCCGCCAAAAUCCCAAAUCUCUUCCACCCAAAUCUCUCCCACCCAAAUCUCCUCCACUAAGUUAAUCAAAUCCCGUAAACCCUAAAUCUCUUCCACCAAAUCACCCAAGUCUCUUCCACUAAAUCGCCCAAAUUUCUUCCAUCACUUGUUUCUUCAGUUCUCGGUAGCAGCAAUAAACAGUGAAAUCGUCACUUCGCCACCUCCGUCGUCGCAAACCAUCACCUUUUUUGAAGACUUUUUGGACAUGCUUUUUUGUAAGAAUUUUGUUUGACAUGGAUCUGCCAAAAGAAGACAUUUCAAAUGAAAAUGAAGGUGAAGGCAACCCUAAAUGUGAAGAUGCAAAACCAGAGAGGAAAACAGAGGGGCCCAACAAAGAAAGGCAAGCCUAAAACAAAACUAACAAUAAAAUGUAACAAAAUAGGUGUUCCUAUUGGACCCGAGGCUACAGAGUUAGCCACAUUUGAAGGGAUGGUAGCUCGAACUAUGGUUCCUAUUAUUUAUGAUGUCUGGUGACAUGUGUUAGAAGACUUGAAGAGAAAAAUAUGGGAUUUUGUGUGUGAACAUUUUGGGGUCAACCCUAAGAGUUGAAAGAAAACACUUCAAGACAAUGGAGUGAAGUGGAGCUUGUUCAAAUAUACCCUAAAAAAGAAUUUUGUUAUUCCCUUUGCGAAUAAAAGUGGUAAAUUGGUGAGACCUCCACCAUAGUACAACUUCAUCAAGAAGAGUCACUGGGAAGAAUUUGUGGCUAAGCGAUCAUCGAAAAACAUUCAGACAUUGAGCACUAAGCAAAAGGAAAAAUGAGCCAAGAACAAAUACAACGAUAGAUUGUUCGGAAGGGAUACGCUAAUCUGAUUGAAG
Long non-coding RNA from Pistacia vera, 918 nucleotides. RefSeq lists it as uncharacterized. Lineage: Eukaryota; Viridiplantae; Streptophyta; Magnoliopsida; Sapindales; Anacardiaceae. The transcript is spliced from 4 exons. The record is from RefSeq and is a predicted model, not a curated record.